RNAcentral lists this ribosomal RNA (465 nucleotides) under uncultured bacterium. RNAcentral describes it as "bacterial SSU rRNA". It matches the Rfam family "Bacterial small subunit ribosomal RNA", at positions 330 to 792 of the family's 1533-position model. The record is from RNAcentral.
UCCAGACUCCUACGGGAGGCAGCAGUGAGGAAUAUUGGUCAAUGGGCGAGAGCCUGAACCAGCCAAGUCGCGUGAGGGAAGACGGUCCUAUGGAUUGUAAACCUCUUUUGUCGGGGAGCAAAAAGGCCUCGUGAGGCCACAAGCGAGAGUACCCGAAGAAAAAGCAUCGGCUAACUCCGUGCCAGCAGCCGCGGUAAUACGGAGGAUGCGAGCGUUGUCCGGAUUUAUUGGGUUUAAAGGGUGCGUAGGCGGACUGGAAAGUCAGCGGUAAAAUUGCGGGGCUCAACCCCGUACUGCCGUUGAAACUGCAUCCCUUGAGUGCGCGAGAAGUAUGCGGAAUGCGUGGUGUAGCGGUGAAAUGCAUAGAUAUCACGCAGAACUCCGAUUGCGAAGGCAGCAUACCGGCGCGCAACUGACGCUCAUGCACGAAAGCGUGGGUAUCGAACAGGAUUAGAUACCCCGGUA